AGGAAGAGCUCAUCCAGUAGCGCUUCAAUUAUUUGACAUUUCUAUCACCGAUGAAGUUCUCCUUUUAGCUUUGGAAAAUGUUCAGUAUAACAUUUUCAAGUACUGAGCAACUCAUUUUUAUAUCUUCUGACAGCUUUAAGCCAGCUUUUUCUCCUGGGAGCUGAGGCUGUUUGUGUUAGUACACUCAUGGUGCCUGGAUCCAACCUCAUUGCUGAUAUCUAAGAAGUCCGACAUCUCCGUGAAGGUAUUUUAUUGCCAUUUUUAGCAGAAAUGUAUAUAUUCCAUCCUGAUGAGACAAGGUCCGCAUACUUUUCCUUCAGACCUCUACAGACUAAAGGGUUCAUAAAGGAGUUCACUGAUACCUUGUUGACAAUGGUGAUGAAAUACUCUGACUUGUCAUCCUGGGAGAUUUCAACACACACAUCGACAAGAUUGCAGAUAUAAAGUCCCACAAACUCACCUCCUGGCUUUCCUCCCAAACACUCUCCUGGUAUUUCUACACUGACAAUUAAAGUCUGCCUCAAAAGGUCUCCUUCGCUGGGUCUGAGUGACAUGUGUCACACCAACAGCAAAUUUCAUCAGGCUGCACGCAGCAGCAAACUGCGUUUGGUGAAGGCUCCAUGCGUGGCAGUGCUAGGAGGAAGCUGGCAGCCAGGAC
RNAcentral lists this long non-coding RNA (658 nucleotides) under Gallus gallus (chicken). RNAcentral describes it as "lncRNA (ENSGALG00010004511.1)". Lineage: Eukaryota; Metazoa; Chordata; Aves; Galliformes; Phasianidae. The record is from RNAcentral.